Molecule: long non-coding RNA, 604 nt
Organism: Oncorhynchus keta (chum salmon)
Lineage: Eukaryota; Metazoa; Chordata; Actinopteri; Salmoniformes; Salmonidae
Exons: 5
Source: RefSeq, a predicted model, not a curated record
GUUGUCCACCCCAGGCGGCCGUGUCUGCCACGUCACUGCAAUACUUGUCAAACUCAUCUGGGAACACACAGAGGUAGUGAUCACACACUGGAGUGACUCAUCUGGAAACACACAGAGGUAGUGAUCACACACUGGAGUGACUCAUCUGGAAACACACAGAGGUAGUGAUCACACACUGGAGUGACUCAUCUGGAAACACACAGAGGUAGUGAUCACACACUGGAGUGACUCAUCUGGAAACACACAGAGGUAGUGAUCACACACUGGAGUGACUCAUCUGGAAACACACAGAGGUAGUGAUCACACACUGGAGUGACUCAUCUGGAAACACACAGAGGUAGUGAUCACACACUGGAGUGACUAAUCUGGAAACACACAGAGGUAGUGAUCACACACUGGAGUGACUCAUCUGGAAACACACAGAGGUAGUGAUCACACACUGGAGUGACUCAUCUGGAAACACACAGAGGUAGUGAUCACACACUGGAGUGACUCAUCUGGAAACACACAGAGGUAGUGAUCACACACUGGAGUGACUCAUCUGGAAACACACAGAGGUAAUGAUCACACACUGGAGUGACUCAUCUGGAAACACACAGAGGUA